GGGCCCGAGUUGUAAUUUGCAGAGGGAGUUUCGGAGGCGGCACCGGCCUAAGUUCCUUGGAACGGGGCGUCAUAGAGGGUGAGAAUCCCGUACGUGGCCGGUGGUCAAUUCCAUGUGAAACCCUUUCGACGAGUCGAGUUGUUUGGGAAUGCAGCUCAAAAUGGGUGGUAAAUUUCAUCUAAAGCUAAAUACCGGCCAGAGACCGAUAGCGCACAAGUAGAGUGAUCGAAAGAUGAAAAGCACUUUGGAAAGAGAGUUAAAAAGUACGUGAAAUUGUUGAAAGGGAAGCGCUUGCGACCAGACUUGCCCGCGGGUGAUCAGCCCCCCUUCGGGAGGGUGCACUCGCCCGUGGUCAGGCCAGCAUCGGUUUUGGUGGGCGGAUAAAGGCUCCAGGAAUGUAGCUCCCCUCGGGGAGUGUUAUAGCCUGGGGUGCCAUGCGCCCCGCCGGGACCGAGGACCGCGCUUCGGCUAGGAUGCUGGCGUAAUGGUCGUAAGCGACCCGUCUUGAAACACGGACCAAGGAGUCUAACAUCUGUGCGAGUGUUUGGGUGUCAAACCCAUGCGCGGAAUGAAAGUGAACGGAGGUGGGAACCCCUUCCGGGGGGCGCACCAUCGACCGAUCCUGAUGUCUUCGGAUGGAUUUGAGUAGGAGCAUGGCUGUUGGGACCCGAAAGAUGGUGAACUAUGCCUGGAUAGGGUGAAGCCAGAGGAAACUCUGGUGGAGGCUCGCAGCGGUUCUGACGUGCAAAUCGAUCGUCAAAUCUGGGUAUAGGGGCGAAAGGUCAGUGCAUUCAUCUCUUUUUGUGGUGGAGUCGGGCUGUCGGGGUGGAAACGUGCUAACAAUUUUCCAGACUAAUCGAACCAU
RNAcentral lists this ribosomal RNA (865 nucleotides) under Aspiciliella intermutans. Its description in RNAcentral is "LSU rRNA". It matches the Rfam family "Eukaryotic large subunit ribosomal RNA", at positions 134 to 943 of the family's 3401-position model. The record is from RNAcentral. Lineage: Eukaryota; Fungi; Ascomycota; Lecanoromycetes; Pertusariales; Megasporaceae.